RNAcentral lists this transfer RNA (73 nucleotides) under Nitophyllum punctatum. Its description in RNAcentral is "tRNA-Asn". It matches the Rfam family "tRNA". From Rfam's summary of the family: Transfer RNA (tRNA) molecules are approximately 80 nucleotides in length. Their secondary structure includes four short double-helical elements and three loops (D, anti-codon, and T loops). The record is from RNAcentral. Lineage: Eukaryota; Rhodophyta; Florideophyceae; Ceramiales; Delesseriaceae.
UCCUCAGUAGCUCAGUGGUAGAGCGAUCGGCUGUUAACCGAUUGGUCGCAGGUUCAAAUCCUGCCUGGGGAGC